UCUCCGAAAGACGAGUCCUCUGAGUGG
This 27-nucleotide small RNA is filed under the name Bombyx mori (domestic silkworm). Its description in RNAcentral is "ovarian small RNA-29641". The record is from RNAcentral. Lineage: Eukaryota; Metazoa; Arthropoda; Insecta; Lepidoptera; Bombycidae.